RNAcentral lists this ribosomal RNA (1550 nucleotides) under Klebsiella pneumoniae. Its description in RNAcentral is "bacterial SSU rRNA". It matches the Rfam family "Bacterial small subunit ribosomal RNA". Lineage: Bacteria; Pseudomonadati; Pseudomonadota; Gammaproteobacteria; Enterobacterales; Enterobacteriaceae. The record is from RNAcentral.
AAAUUGAAGAGUUUGAUCAUGGCUCAGAUUGAACGCUGGCGGCAGGCCUAACACAUGCAAGUCGAGCGGUAGCACAGAGAGCUUGCUCUCGGGUGACGAGCGGCGGACGGGUGAGUAAUGUCUGGGAAACUGCCUGAUGGAGGGGGAUAACUACUGGAAACGGUAGCUAAUACCGCAUAAUGUCGCAAGACCAAAGUGGGGGACCUUCGGGCCUCAUGCCAUCAGAUGUGCCCAGAUGGGAUUAGCUAGUAGGUGGGGUAACGGCUCACCUAGGCGACGAUCCCUAGCUGGUCUGAGAGGAUGACCAGCCACACUGGAACUGAGACACGGUCCAGACUCCUACGGGAGGCAGCAGUGGGGAAUAUUGCACAAUGGGCGCAAGCCUGAUGCAGCCAUGCCGCGUGUGUGAAGAAGGCCUUCGGGUUGUAAAGCACUUUCAGCGGGGAGGAAGGCGAUAAGGUUAAUAACCUUGGCGAUUGACGUUACCCGCAGAAGAAGCACCGGCUAACUCCGUGCCAGCAGCCGCGGUAAUACGGAGGGUGCAAGCGUUAAUCGGAAUUACUGGGCGUAAAGCGCACGCAGGCGGUCUGUCAAGUCGGAUGUGAAAUCCCCGGGCUCAACCUGGGAACUGCAUUCGAAACUGGCAGGCUAGAGUCUUGUAGAGGGGGGUAGAAUUCCAGGUGUAGCGGUGAAAUGCGUAGAGAUCUGGAGGAAUACCGGUGGCGAAGGCGGCCCCCUGGACAAAGACUGACGCUCAGGUGCGAAAGCGUGGGGAGCAAACAGGAUUAGAUACCCUGGUAGUCCACGCCGUAAACGAUGUCGAUUUGGAGGUUGUGCCCUUGAGGCGUGGCUUCCGGAGCUAACGCGUUAAAUCGACCGCCUGGGGAGUACGGCCGCAAGGUUAAAACUCAAAUGAAUUGACGGGGGCCCGCACAAGCGGUGGAGCAUGUGGUUUAAUUCGAUGCAACGCGAAGAACCUUACCUGGUCUUGACAUCCACAGAACUUAGCAGAGAUGCUUUGGUGCCUUCGGGAACUGUGAGACAGGUGCUGCAUGGCUGUCGUCAGCUCGUGUUGUGAAAUGUUGGGUUAAGUCCCGCAACGAGCGCAACCCUUAUCCUUUGUUGCCAGCGGUUAGGCCGGGAACUCAAAGGAGACUGCCAGUGAUAAACUGGAGGAAGGUGGGGAUGACGUCAAGUCAUCAUGGCCCUUACGACCAGGGCUACACACGUGCUACAAUGGCAUAUACAAAGAGAAGCGACCUCGCGAGAGCAAGCGGACCUCAUAAAGUAUGUCGUAGUCCGGAUUGGAGUCUGCAACUCGACUCCAUGAAGUCGGAAUCGCUAGUAAUCGUAGAUCAGAAUGCUACGGUGAAUACGUUCCCGGGCCUUGUACACACCGCCCGUCACACCAUGGGAGUGGGUUGCAAAAGAAGUAGGUAGCUUAACCUUCGGGAGGGCGCUUACCACUUUGUGAUUCAUGACUGGGGUGAAGUCGUAACAAGGUAACCGUAGGGGAACCUGCGGUUGGAUCACCUCCUUACCUUAAAGAA